CCCUUGGAUGAUGAGGACAUAUUGUCCUACAUCCUUGUCGGACUUGAUGAUGAUUAUGAGCCCAUCGCCUCCUCUCUCGUCGGAAGGGCGGAGGCAGCAUCUGUUGCGGAGGCUUACUCUCAAGCCCUGAGUCUCGAGG
RNAcentral lists this small nucleolar RNA (139 nucleotides) under Oryza punctata. Its description in RNAcentral is "Small nucleolar RNA Z247". It matches the Rfam family "Small nucleolar RNA Z247". From Rfam's summary of the family: Z247 is a member of the C/D class of snoRNA which contain the C (UGAUGA) and D (CUGA) box motifs. Most of the members of the box C/D family function in directing site-specific 2'-O-methylation of substrate RNAs. The record is from Rfam by way of RNAcentral. Lineage: Eukaryota; Viridiplantae; Streptophyta; Magnoliopsida; Poales; Poaceae.